Long non-coding RNA from Tyto alba (common barn owl), 1159 nucleotides. RefSeq lists it as uncharacterized. The transcript has 2 exons. Lineage: Eukaryota; Metazoa; Chordata; Aves; Strigiformes; Tytonidae. The record is from RefSeq and is a predicted model, not a curated record.
UUUUUUUUUUUUUUUUUUUUUUAGUUUAUUUUCCUUUUUCUCUCCCCCACCCCCCGCCACCCCCCGCCCCUUGUGUCUUUUUACUCUGCUGGAGCUUCACACCAGGACUGAGCAGUGAGGUGUGUUACUGCUAGGUCUAUUUAUUCUGCCUGAACUCUCUUCUCAGACGUUUGCGGUUAUAAAACCUGCUUGGCUUAAAUGUAAAUAAAUAAAUAAAAUAAAGAAAAGAAUGCUCUCCAAGAAGGUAAGAGGAUGGGAAUAUUGAGAGAGUGUGUGCAGGGUCAGCGUGUUUGCUCCCACUCUCCUGCUUUGGGACUCCGCCUGGACAGGGUGACUUGGUGGCUGGAUGUGGCUGAGGAAGGAAGAGGCUGAGAAAAUGGGCUAGAAACUUUAGUAUUUGCCAGUUAUUCCCGAUCCUGGAGUGGGCAAUGGUGGCAUCAGCGCGGCAGAUCUAGCAGGAGAUGGAGCGGAGAGGGGAGGGCAGGAACCGGGGCGAGCCGGGACCCUCCGCCCGCCUCGGCACUUGGCGUUUUCAUGUAAAACGACCAAUAGUGAAUUGUUUUAAAUGCGUUUCAUUCCCUUCCCUGCUCUUCAGCCUCCCGCAAAAAAAAGUUGUCAUUAAUUUUAAACCUGCAGAUCUCGAGAACACUUCUCUUUCCGGAGGGCCGGCUAGAUUUUUAAUAUAAAUAUAUAUAUAUAUAUAUUAUUUUUUCCUUUUUGCUAAACGACUUUUAAGUUCCAGUCAGUACUUUCACUUCUUGCUUUAGGAUCCCAGAAGCUAAGGUGUUACUUCACCCAGCUUCACAAAAUAAAAUAAAGAAAUGAAAGUAACUAAGCAGACAAAACAGCAAACUUUCUGUUUGGGGAAACACAUCCUUUGCCGGGGAGCUCUGCCCGGGGCUGGGGCUCCAGCGGUGCCCGGCCGGGCUGGCUUUGCAAGCUCAGGGCGUGCAAAGCAUUAACAGGAGGGUCAAGUCCCUUCGCAGCACUAAAACUUUUGCUGCUGCGUUGUAAAAGGUACCUCCGGUACCUGGCUGACAGGUAAGGGGAGCAGGGGUGGGGGUGGCACAGCCCCGAGCGCCCCGAAACUGCUAGCCCCUUCCCGGAGCGGUACCGAAGUGACUUCAGGUUUCAGCUUAAAAAAAAAAAAAUAAAUAAA